UUGACCUCGGAUCAGGUAGGGAUACCCGCUGAACUUAAGCAUAUCAAUAAGCGGAGGAAAAGAAACCAACAGGGAUUGCCUCAGUAACGGCGAGUGAAGCGGCAAGAGCUCAAAUUUGAAAGCUGGCUCCUUCGGGGUCCGCAUUGUAAUUUGCAGAGGAUGCUUCGGGAGCGGCCCCCAUCUAAGUGCCCUGGAACGGGCCGUCAUAGAGGGUGAGAAUCCCGUAUGGGAUGGGGUGCCCGCGACCAUGUGAAGCUCCUUCGACGAGUCGAGUUGUUUGGGAAUGCAGCUCUAAAUGGGUGGUAAAUUUCAUCUAAAGCUAAAUAUUGGCCGGAGACCGAUAGCGCACAAGUAGAGUGAUCGAAAGAUGAAAAGCACUUUGAAAAGAGAGUUAAAAAGCACGUGAAAUUGUUGAAAGGGAAGCGCUUGCGACCAGACUCGCCCGCGGGGUUCAGCCGGUAUUCGUACCGGUGUACUUCCCCGCGGGCGGGCCAGCGUCGGUUUGGGCGGCCGGUCAAAGGCCCUCGGAAUGUAACGCCUCUCGGGGCGUCUUAUAGCCGAGGGUGCCAUGCGGCCAGCCCGGACCGAGGAACGCGCUUCGGCACGGACGCUGGCAUAAUGGUCGUAAGCGACC
RNAcentral lists this ribosomal RNA (634 nucleotides) under Penicillium pimiteouiense. RNAcentral describes it as "eukaryotic LSU rRNA". It matches the Rfam family "Eukaryotic large subunit ribosomal RNA", at positions 1 to 649 of the family's 3401-position model. Lineage: Eukaryota; Fungi; Ascomycota; Eurotiomycetes; Eurotiales; Aspergillaceae. The record is from RNAcentral.